Molecule: ribosomal RNA, 393 nt
Filed under: Escherichia coli
Lineage: Bacteria; Pseudomonadati; Pseudomonadota; Gammaproteobacteria; Enterobacterales; Enterobacteriaceae
Description: partial 23S ribosomal RNA
Rfam family: Bacterial large subunit ribosomal RNA
Source: RNAcentral
UAGUGAACCAGUACCGGGAGGGAAAGGUGAAAAGCACCCCGGAAGGGGAGUGAAAUAGAACCUGAAACCGUGUGCCUACAACAAGUCAAAGCCCGUUAAUGGGUGAUGGCGUGCCUUUUGUAGAAUGAACCGGCGAGUUACGAUUGCAUGCGAGGUUAAGUUGAAGAGACGGAGCCGCAGCGAAAGCGAGUCUGAAUAGGGCGUUUGAGUAUGUAGUCGUAGACCCGAAACCAUGUGAUCUACCCAUGUCCAGGUUGAAGGUGCGGUAAAACGCACUGGAGGACCGAACCCACGUACGUUGAAAAGUGCGGGGAUGAGGUGUGGGUAGCGGAGAAAUUCCAAACGAACUUGGAGAUAGCUGGUUCUCUCCGAAAUAGCUUUAGGGCUAGCCUC